RNAcentral lists this ribosomal RNA (467 nucleotides) under uncultured bacterium. RNAcentral's name for it is "bacterial SSU rRNA". It matches the Rfam family "Bacterial small subunit ribosomal RNA", at positions 329 to 793 of the family's 1533-position model. The record is from RNAcentral.
UUCCAGACUCCUACGGGAGGCAGCAGUGAGGAAUAUUGGUCAAUGGCCGGAAGGCUGAACCAGCCAAGCCGCGUGAGGGAGGAAGGCGCAGAGCGUCGCAGACCUCUUUUGCCGGGGGACAAAAGGCCGGACUCGUCCGGUCCUGAGGGUACCCGGAGAAAAAGCUCCGGCUAACUACGUGCCAGCAGCCGCGGUAAUACGUAGGGAGCGAGCGUUGUCCGGAUUUACUGGGUGUAAAGGGCGUGUAGGCGGAGCUGCAAGUCAGAAGUGAAAUCUCCGGGCUCAACCCGGAAACUGCUUUUGAAGCUGUAGCCCUUGAGUAUCGGAGAGGCAGGCGGAAUUCCUAGUGUAGCGGUGAAAUGCGUAGAUAUUAGGAGGAACACCAGUGGCGAAGGCGGCCUGCUGGACGACAACUGACGCUGAGGCGCGAAAGCGUGGGGAGCAAACAGGAUUAGAUACCCUUGUAC